Molecule: ribosomal RNA, 253 nt
Filed under: uncultured bacterium
Lineage: Bacteria
Description: partial 16S ribosomal RNA
Rfam family: Bacterial small subunit ribosomal RNA
Source: RNAcentral
UACGUAGGGGGCAAGCGUUGUCCGGAUUUACUGGGCGUAAAGAGCGUGUAGGCGGCCAAGCAGGUCCGUUGUGAAAACUGGAGGCUUAACCUCCAGACGUCGACGCAAACCGCGUGGCUAGAGUCCGGAAGAGGAGAGUGGAAUUCCUGGUGUAGCGGUGAAAUGCGCAGAUAUCAGGAUGAACACCAAUUGCGAAGGCAGCUCGCUGGGACGUUACUGACGCUGAGACGCGAAAGCGUGGGGAGCAAACAGG